GGAUGAACGCUGGCGGCGUGCUUAACACAUGCAAGUCGAACGGGGUACCCGUUGACGGAGUUUCGGACAACAGAUAGGACUACCUAGUGGCGGACGGGUGAGUAACGCGUGAGGAACCUGCCUUGGAGAGGGGAAUAACACAGAGAAAUUUGUGCUAAUACCGCAUGAUGCAGUUGGGUCGCAUGGCUCUGACUGCCAAAGAUUUAUCGCUCUGAGAUGGCCUCGCGUCUGAUUAGGUAGUUGGCGGGGUAACGGCCCACCAAGCCGACGAUCAGUAGCCGGACUGAGAGGUUGACCGGCCACAUGGGACUGAGACACGGCCCAGACUCCUACGGGAGGCAGCAGUGGGGAAUAUUGGGCAAUGGGCGCAAGCCUGACCCAGCAACGCCGCGUGAAGGAAGAAGGCUUUCGGGUUGUAAACUUCUUUUAUGAGGGACGAAGGAAGUGACGGUACCUCAUGAAUAAGCUCCGGCUAACUACGUGCCAGCCGCAGC
This 494-nucleotide ribosomal RNA is filed under the name uncultured bacterium. RNAcentral describes it as "bacterial SSU rRNA". It matches the Rfam family "Bacterial small subunit ribosomal RNA", at positions 27 to 518 of the family's 1533-position model. The record is from RNAcentral.